AAAGUACUCCCUCCGUCCCAAAAUUCUUGUCUUAGAUUUGUCUAGAUAUGGAUGUAUCAAGUCACAUUUUAGUAUUAGAUACAUCCGUAUCUAGAAAAAUCUAAGAUAAGAAAUUUGGGAUAGAGCGAGUAGUUG
Molecule: non-coding RNA, 135 nt
Organism: Triticum aestivum (bread wheat)
Lineage: Eukaryota; Viridiplantae; Streptophyta; Magnoliopsida; Poales; Poaceae
Source: Rfam